This 245-nucleotide ribosomal RNA is filed under the name uncultured bacterium. RNAcentral describes it as "partial 16S ribosomal RNA". It matches the Rfam family "Bacterial small subunit ribosomal RNA", at positions 524 to 767 of the family's 1533-position model. The record is from RNAcentral.
UACGGAGGAGGCAAGCGUUAUCCGGAAUUAUUGGGCGUAAAGCGUCCGCAGGUGGCUAUUGCUAGUCUGCCGUCAAAGACCGGGGCUUAACCCUGGAAAGGCGGUGGAAACUGCACAGCUAGAGAGAGGUAGGGGUAGAGGGAAUUCCCGGUGUAGCGGUGAAAUGCGUAGAGAUCGGGAAGAACAUCGGUGGCGAAAGCGCUCUACUGGACCUCAUCUGACACUCAGGGACGAAAGCUAGGGGA